Molecule: long non-coding RNA, 348 nt
Organism: Xiphias gladius (swordfish)
Lineage: Eukaryota; Metazoa; Chordata; Actinopteri; Istiophoriformes; Xiphiidae
Exons: 3
Source: RefSeq, a predicted model, not a curated record
CACUAACCCAGACGGAGCUCGGACCACUCCUGGCUGGCCAACACCUACUGGACCUUCUCGACCAAUGAUGUCGCUUUCCCUGAUGCAUCUGGCCUGAAGGUUAAAGAUGUUGGCCAGAGACGCACAGUCAGUAGAGUUGAUAAACUGAACGACUUCAUCUACAGUCCACUCCAGGGGGUUCCUGUCCAAAACCAGCUGACCCUCCUCCUCCUCCACCUGGACCCCAGACACACACACACACAGUAAGGCUGACAGCGAGCGAGUCGACCUCCUGCGGCCCUCGGGGGCCUCCUGGCUGCCCAUGGCGUUUCCCAAGCUGACGGCCCUGCGCAGCGUCGCGGCCCUGCG